UGGGGAAUAUUGCACAAUGGGCGCAAGCCUGAUGCAGCAACGCCGCGUGAGGGAUGACGGCCUUCGGGUUGUAAACCUCUUUUAGUAGGGAAGAAGCGAAAGUGACGGUACCUGCAGAAAAAGCACCGGCUAACUACGUGCCAGCAGCCGCGGUAAUACGUAGGGUGCGAGCGUUGUCCGGAAUUAUUGGGCGUAAAGAGCUCGUAGGCGGUCUGUCGCGUCUGCUGUGAAAACCCGAGGCUCAACCUCGGGCCUGCAGUGGGUACGGGCAGACUAGAGUGCGGUAGGGGAGAAUGGAAUUCCUGGUGUAGCGGUGGAAUGCGCAGAUAUCAGGAGGAACACCGAUGGCGAAGGCAGUUCUCUGGGCCGUAACUGACGCUGAGGAGCGAAAGCGUGGGGAGCGAACAGGAUUAGAUACCCUGGUAGUCCACGCCGUAAACGUUGGGCGCUAGAUGUGGGGACCAUUCCACGGUUUCCGUGUCGCAGCU
This 488-nucleotide ribosomal RNA is filed under the name uncultured bacterium. RNAcentral describes it as "partial 16S ribosomal RNA". It matches the Rfam family "Bacterial small subunit ribosomal RNA", at positions 355 to 853 of the family's 1533-position model. The record is from RNAcentral.